AUUGAACGCUGGCGGCAUGCCUUACACAUGCAAGUCGAACGGCAGCGCGGGGGCAACCCUGGCGGCGAGUGGCGAACGGGUGAGUAAUAUAUCGGAACGUACCCAAGAGUGGGGGAUAACGUAGCGAAAGUUACGCUAAUACCGCAUACGAUCUAAGGAUGAAAGUGGGGGACCGCAAGGCCUCACGCUCCUGGAGCGGCCGAUAUCUGAUUAGCUAGUUGGUGGGGUAAAGGCCUACCAAGGCAUCGAUCAGUAGCUGGCCUGAGAGGACGACCAGCCACACUGGGACUGAGACACGGCCCAGACUCCUACGGGAGGCAGCAGUGGGGAAUUUUGGACAAUGGGGGGCAACCCUGAUCCAGCAAUGCCGCGUGAGUGAAGAAGGCC
Molecule: ribosomal RNA, 387 nt
Filed under: uncultured bacterium
Lineage: Bacteria
Description: bacterial SSU rRNA
Rfam family: Bacterial small subunit ribosomal RNA
Source: RNAcentral